AUAUUAUAAUAAGAAAAAGUAGCUUUUUUUUUUAACAUUUCUGGUUACUACGAAAGAAGAUAUCCUGUAAUGUUCAGAGAAAAUCGUGAGAUCCAAGGGAAAGAAGUGGAUUAUUAUUAGUAUUUAAAGAGUUUGAAGUAUAAAAAAUGGAUAAUUCCACUACAAGAAUGAAAAAAUAUAAAAGAAAAAUAGCCUGAUCUAGUAGAAAGUAUAUACCCAAGGAUUAAUCACUUCUUCAAUCUCCAUUUGUUAUAUAGAGACAAAAAUGUUUCAGUGGAAGUUUAAGAAGGAAAAAAGGAAUUCUCAUGUCAAACUGAUCCAAGUGAUCUGGAAGAUGAUAUCUUUUUAUUUUCAUCAGUAAUUUCAUAGACCAUAGUGCCGAGGGAGUGUGUGAUUUUAAAAUUACUGCCAUAGGAUAUAAAUAAGUGAUAUGUAAAAUCUAUGCAGUAUUUGAUAAUAACACAAGGCAAUAUCGAUCAAUUUCAACAUAAAUAGUUUAAUUUCUCCAAAAGCAAUGCCGUCUAAGCGCCGAAAUUUUAGUUCCUCGAAUAUAAGAGUUUUUCUGAGUCCUUUGACUGAUAUAGAUUGGUCAGUAUUAUAUGACAACAAUAGACAAAAUGUAGAAGACAUGUGGUCCUGUUUUUCGUCAAUUUUCAAUGGAGUAUUUGCUGAUGCCUUUCCUACAGUCUCCUUUCGAGCUUCCUCUGGUAGGUUGAAUUUUUGCAAUUCUGAUCCUCAGGUGUUGAAAAUCAAACGACAAUUAGAUAUACUCUAUAGAAUGUCACGGGUUGACCCUCUGUACUUAGAUCAGUACAGAGUUGCAAAGAAGCAAUAUGACAGGCGGAUCACACAGCUCAAACUGGCUCAUUAUAGGAGUCUUAUUAAGAACUCUUCAAACAAGUCAAAAAUGACAUGGAGCAUUGUCAGAGAUCUCACUGGCAAACGUCAUACAGAGUAUGACCAUUUUCCUGCAGGCAAUCCAGAAGAUGUUGCAAAUAAGUUCAAUCAAUUUUUUUCUGCUUGUGGUACAAGCUGUGAACUUUCUGGGGAGGGAAAUACUUGUGGUGUACAGAGAAAUGAAAGCUCUUUUUAUGUGUUCCAGGUGACAGCUCGAGAAUUACUAUCAAUGGUUAUUAAAAUGAAGAAUUCUUCUUCAUGUGGUUUCGACGGUAUUUCUAUGAAAAUAGUAAAAAAAAUGUAUUCAUAUAAUAGCAGAACCCUUGAGCUUUAUAAUUAAUUGUUCAUUUGUUGAGGGAAUAUUUCCAGAUGGCAAUUAUUAAACCGUUACUUAAAAAAGGCUCUAAAGCUGAUUUUGGCAAUUAUAGGCCCAUAAGCCUGUUAGCUACUUUCUCAAAGGUGAGUGAAAAGAUACUUUGUAUCCGUCUUGUGUCCUUUUUCAGAAAGUUCAAAAUCUUUAAUGCAUCUCAGCAUGGAUUUAUAUCUAAUAAAUCUACGGAAACUGCGAUUUUCGAUCUAUUGCGAAAAAUUACUGAGGUCUUGGAUGGAGGAGAUAUUCCUCUGGGUGUGUUUCUCGACUUGUCCAAAGCAUUUGACAGUGUUAACCACCGAAAACUGCUGGACAAGCUUGAGCAUUAUGGAAUACGUGAUAGGCAAUUGGACCUUAUAAGAAGCUACCUGACCAAUAGAGUU
Molecule: long non-coding RNA, 1650 nt
Organism: Harmonia axyridis
Lineage: Eukaryota; Metazoa; Arthropoda; Insecta; Coleoptera; Coccinellidae
Exons: 2
Source: RefSeq, a predicted model, not a curated record